UAGUCAUUGUUGGCGCAGGCGACCUGUGUUUUACGUUGCGUACUUUCACAGUGCUGUGAACAUACUCUGGAAUCGGGGUGAUUCUCUGAUCUAUCAACCUGACGGUACAGCCCUGGGUGGCUCCAAUGGCACUUUUGCCCUGCAAACAGCGGGCACGGCCAUCGAGCACCGGGUGGUGGUCUCAUUGCUGGGCCGGGUGCGUACUGAAGUGAUCAACCCCUGAAACGAAACGGGUUCCAUCGGGAUGGGGCCCGACCACAAGUCGUAAAAGGUAACCGUAACACACUGGGACUGAGACACGGCCCAGACUCCUACGGGAGGCAGCAGUGGGGAAUAUUGGACAAUGGGGGCAACCCUGAUCCAGCCAUGCCGCGUGUGUGAAGAAGGCCUUCGGGUUGUAAAGCACUUUCAGCUGUGAGGAAAGGCGAGUGGUUAAUACCCGCUUGCUGUGACGUUAACAGCAGAAGAAGGACCGGCUAACUCCGUGCCAGCAGCCGCGGUAAUACGGAGGGUCCGAGCGUUAAUCGGAAUUACUGGGCGUAAAGCGCGCGUAGGUGGUUCAGUCAGUCAGAUGUGAAAGCCCCGGGCUCAACCUGGGAACUGCACCUGAUACUGCUGAGCUAGAGUACGGUAGAGGGCAGUGGAAUUUCCGGUGUAGCGGUGAAAUGCGUAGAGAUCGGAAGGAACACCAGUGGCGAAGGCGACUGCCUGGACUGAUACUGACACUGAGGUGCGAAAGCGUGGGUAGCCAAC
Molecule: ribosomal RNA, 753 nt
Filed under: Marinobacterium sp. HPC 1028
Lineage: Bacteria; Pseudomonadati; Pseudomonadota; Gammaproteobacteria; Oceanospirillales; Oceanospirillaceae
Description: bacterial SSU rRNA
Rfam family: Bacterial small subunit ribosomal RNA
Source: RNAcentral